RNAcentral lists this ribosomal RNA (2865 nucleotides) under Prochlorococcus sp. AG-670-L16. RNAcentral's name for it is "bacterial LSU rRNA". It matches the Rfam family "Bacterial large subunit ribosomal RNA". Lineage: Bacteria; Bacillati; Cyanobacteriota; Cyanophyceae; Synechococcales; Prochlorococcaceae. RNAcentral also lists the same sequence under 1 other name. The record is from RNAcentral.
CAAAGGGCUCACGGAGGAUACCUAGGCACACAGAGGCGAUGAAGGACGUGGUUACCUGCGAUAAGUCUCGGGGAGUUGGAAGCACACUUUGAUCCGGGAAUUUCCGAAUGGGGCAACCCCUUGAACGACCAACUGAAUAUAUAGGUUGGUGCGAGCUAACCCAGCGAACUGAAACAUCUUAGUAGCUGGAGGAAGAGAAAGUAAAUAACGACUCCCUCAGUAGCGGCGAGCGAACGGGGAAUAGCCCAAACCGAUAGUCUUGACUAUCGGGGUUGUGGGACAGCAAUAUGGAUCAACAAUUCUAGAAGAAACGUUUGAAUGGCGUGCCAUAGAGGGUGAAAGCCCCGUAAUUGAAAGAUGAGUUGACCUAGCUGUAUCCCGAGUAGCACGGAGCACGUGGAAUUCCGUGUGAAUCUGCGAGGACCACCUCGUAAGGCUAAGUACUACUGUGUGACCGAUAGUGAAACAGUACCGCGAGGGAAAGGUGAAAAGAACCCCGGGAGGGGAGUGAAAUAGAACAUGAAACCGUGAGCUUACAAGCAAUGGGAGCCCGACUAAUCGGGUGACCGUGUGCCUGUUGAAGAAUGAGCCGGCGACUUAUAGGCACUGGCGGGUUAAACCGGAAAUGGUGGAGCCACAGCGAAAGCGAGUCUUAAUAGGGCGUUUGUCAGUGUUUAUAGACCCGAACCCUGGUGAUCUAACCAUGGCCAGGAUGAAGCUUGGGUGAUACCAAGUGGAGGUCCGAACCGACUGAAGUUGAAAAUUCAGCGGAUGAGCUGUGGUUAGGGGUGAAAUGCCAAUCGAACCAGGAGCUAGCUGGUUCUCCCCGAAAUACGUUGAGGCGUAGCGUCUAGUGCUCCAGCAGGGGGGUAAAGCAACCAUUUCGGUGCGGGCUGCGAAAGCGGUACCAAAUCGAUAUGAACUCUGAAUACCCUGUGUGUAACUAGGCAGUCAGACUGUGGGGGAUAAGCUCCAUAGUCAAGAGGGAAACAGCCCAGACCGCCAGCUAAGGUCCCAAAAUUAACGCUAAGUGAUAAAGGAGGUGGGAUUGCCCAGACAACCAGGAGGUUUGCCUAGAAGCAGCCAUCCUCAAAGGAGUGCGUAAUAGCUCACUGGUCGAGCGAUCCUGCGCCGAAAAUGAAUGGGGCUAAGCGUUAUACCGAAGCUGCGGAUAAAUUUAUUUAUGGUAGGGGAGCGUUCUAUGUUGGGUGAAGCGUUAGCGUAAGCGGACGUGGACGGCAUAGAAGUGAGAAUGUCGGCUUGAGUAGCGAAAACAUGGGUGAGAAUCCCAUGCCCCGAAACCCUAAGGGUUCCUCCGGCAGGCUCGUCCGCGGAGGGUUAGUCUGGACCUAAGGCGAGGCCGAAAGGCGUAGUCGAUGGAUAACAGGUCAAUAUUCCUGUACCAGUUAUGUUUUGGGAAGGGGGACGGAGAAGGCUAGCCAGGCCAGAUGUUGGUUACUGGUUCAAGCGUUCAAGGCUUUGAGAGAUGGAGAAAACAUCUUGAGCUAAGGCGUGAGUACGAGCUGCUACGGCAGCGAAGUUGGUGAUGUCAUGCUUCCAAGAAAAGCCCUAUACCCGUUAAGACAUAAAUGCCAGUACCCGAAACCGACACAGGUGGGGUGGUAGAGAAUACCGAGGGGCGCGAGAUAACUCUCUCUAAGGAACUCGGCAAAAUGGCCCCGUAACUUCGGGAGAAGGGGUGCCAGCGAGAGCUGGUCGCAGUGAAGAGGCGCAAGCGACUGUUUACCAAAAACACAGGUCUCCGCUAAGUCGCAAGACGAUGUAUGGGGGCUGACACCUGCCCAGUGCCGGAAGGUUAAGGAAGCUGGUUAGCUUUUAGCAAAGCUAGCGACUGAAGCCCCGGUGAACGGCGGCCGUAACUAUAACGGUCCUAAGGUAGCGAAAUUCCUUGUCGGGUAAGUUCCGACCCGCACGAAAGGUGUAACGAUUUGCGCGCUGUCUCGGAGAGAGGCUCGGCGAAAUAGAAUUGUCUGUGAAGAUGCGGACUACAUACACCCGGACAGAAAGACCCUAUGAAGCUUUACUGUAGUUUGAUAUUGUGCUCGGGCUCUAAUUGCGCAGAAUAGGUGGGAGACGUUGAAAUAGUACUUGUGGGUAUUAUUGAGUCAUCGGUGAGAUACCACUCUAUUAGAGCUAGGGUUCUAACGCUUACCCGUUAUCCGGGAAGCGGACAGUAUCUGAUGGGCAGUUUGACUGGGGCGGUCGCCUCCUAAAAGGUAACGGAGGCGCACAAAGGUUCCCUCAGGCUGGUUGGAAAUCAGUCGUUGAGUGCAAAAGCAGAAGGGAGCUUGACUGUGAGACCUACAAGUCGAACAGGGACGAAAGUCGGUUUUAGUGAUCCGACGGUUCUGCGUGGAAGGGCCGUCGCUCAACGGAUAAAAGUUACUCUAGGGAUAACAGGCUGAUCUCCCCCAAGAGUUCACAUCGACGGGGAGGUUUGGCACCUCGAUGUCGGCUCAUCGCAACCUGGGGCUGAAGUCGGUCCCAAGGGUUGGGCUGUUCGCCCAUUAAAGCGGUACGCGAGCUGGGUUCAGAACGUCGUGAGACAGUUCGGUCCAUAUCCGGUGUAUGCGCAGGAAUAUUGAGAGGAUUUCUCCCUAGUACGAGAGGACCGGGAGGAACGCACCUCUGGUGUGCCAGUUAUCGUGCCAACGGUAAACGCUGGGUAGCCAUGUGCGGAGUGGAUAACCGCUGAAAGCAUCUAAGUGGGAAGCCCACCUCAAGAUGAGUAUUGCCAUGGCUUAAGCCAGUAAGGUCACGGGAAGAACACCCGUUGAUAGGCUCUACGUGGAAGCUUGGUAACAAGUGCAGCGGAGGAGUACUAAUAGACCGAGGGCUUGACCA